AUAGGGUCUAGACCUGGCAUAUCUUCAUACGACCAUGCAAAAAUAUCCGGAUAUUCCCGGAGGAGCUGGAUGACCUUCUGUUUAACCCCUUCCUCUAGAGUAGCACCAAUCUUGAUUUCUUGCUUGUUUUCCUCGGUACCUAUGUUGAUAAGCUCAAUCUCUUCCUGG
Molecule: microRNA precursor, 168 nt
Organism: Medicago truncatula (barrel medic)
Lineage: Eukaryota; Viridiplantae; Streptophyta; Magnoliopsida; Fabales; Fabaceae
Rfam family: MIR2680 microRNA precursor family
Source: Rfam